Molecule: ribosomal RNA, 103 nt
Filed under: uncultured bacterium
Lineage: Bacteria
Description: partial 16S ribosomal RNA
Source: RNAcentral
AAGGAUGAAGGCCUUCUGGUUGUAACUUCUUUACAGGGAAGAAAACUAUUGUUUCUACGAUAGCCGACGGUACCCUGGGAAUAAGCACCGGCUAACUCCGUGC